Molecule: long non-coding RNA, 680 nt
Organism: Homarus americanus (American lobster)
Lineage: Eukaryota; Metazoa; Arthropoda; Malacostraca; Decapoda; Nephropidae
Exons: 3
Source: RefSeq, a predicted model, not a curated record
UGUUAAAAAGGCGUUAAAAUAGAUGAUUUAUGUCCUUGUAGAGAGAAUUUAACAGAAGCAUAGUUGGAAGAGAGGAAUUUUGUAGGAUUGGAUUGUGUCUGUGAGAAAGUGACCAUACUUCCCAAGACCACACCUGCUCCUGUGUUGUUGGGUACUGGGUCAAGAGUGAAGGACUGCGCCGGUCAUCAGACUGAAGGGGCGACCGAGAGUGGAAUGUAUGAAAUUUACCCAUCAGAGUUCUGUGUCACUAGACGGAGUUGUCACCCGCAACGGCCGAGUCGUACGUACGACUGCCCGGUUUGUAUCACGUGUGGGACGCAACCCGGCCAACAUCCAGUCUCCCGUCGCGCCCGGAGGGGAGGGGAGGGGGAGUAUUGCCGUGUGUCGCUGACUAACCGACCCCCUGCGAAUCUACCAGCGUAUCCCUCGUGGUCAAGGUCAGGUAACCAGCGACGCUGAACAAAGCGGGGGGCCUACCAUCAAGCCACGCCUACUCCCGCUAUAUAAGACUUCACCUGGCCGUCAUCGACCUCUUACUACUUACUGCUACCAGCAAGCAACAUCUCUCAACAGCUCCACACCACACACUCCCUCAGAAAGCUCCUCGCCCUACAGGUACGCUGAGCAAGCUUCACCCGACCUAGUAUCUCUUUAACACUGUGCUGUGCAACAAUAUAUAU